RNAcentral lists this small RNA (27 nucleotides) under Bombyx mori (domestic silkworm). RNAcentral describes it as "ovarian small RNA-35924". Lineage: Eukaryota; Metazoa; Arthropoda; Insecta; Lepidoptera; Bombycidae. The record is from RNAcentral.
UGUGGCUGUCUGUUUGGGGCCGCUAUA